RNAcentral lists this ribosomal RNA (162 nucleotides) under uncultured Fusobacterium sp. RNAcentral describes it as "partial 16S ribosomal RNA". It matches the Rfam family "Bacterial small subunit ribosomal RNA", at positions 614 to 775 of the family's 1533-position model. Lineage: Bacteria; Fusobacteriati; Fusobacteriota; Fusobacteriia; Fusobacteriales; Fusobacteriaceae. The record is from RNAcentral.
CUCUGUAUUGCGUUGGAAACUGUAUAACUAGAGUACUGGAGAGGUAAGCGGAACUACAAGUGUAGAGGUGAAAUUCGUAGAUAUUUGUAGGAAUGCCGAUGGGGAAGCCAGCUUACUGGACAGAUACUGACGCUAAAGCGCGAAAGCGUGGGUAGCAACAGG